Molecule: ribosomal RNA, 466 nt
Filed under: uncultured bacterium
Lineage: Bacteria
Description: partial 16S ribosomal RNA
Rfam family: Bacterial small subunit ribosomal RNA
Source: RNAcentral
GACGAACGCUGGCGGCGUGCUUAACACAUGCAAGUCGAACGGUAAGGCUCCAGCUUGCUGGGGUACACGAGUGGCGAACGGGUGAGUAACACGUGGGUGACCUGCCCUGCACUUCGGGAUAAGCCUGGGAAACUGGGUCUAAUACCGGAUAGGACCAUGGUGUUGAUACUGUGGUGGAAAGUUUUUUCGGUGUGGGAUGGGCCCGCGGCCUAUCAGCUUGUUGGUGGGGUAAUGGCCUACCAAGGCGGCGACGGGUAGCCGGCCUGAGAGGGUGGACGGCCACAUUGGGACUGAGACACGGCCCAGACUCCUACGGGAGGCAGCAGUGGGGAAUAUUGCACAAUGGGCGGAAGCCUGAUGCAGCGACGCCGCGUGGGGGAUGACGGCCUUCGGGUUGUAAACUCCUUUCACCAUCGACGAAGGGUUUCUGACGGUAGAUGGAGAAGAAGCACCGGCUAACUACGUG